AACGCACAUUGCACCUUUCGGUAUUCCGGAGGGUAUACCUGUUUGAGCGUCAUUUCACUCUUAAAACAAUGUAUUUUGUUUUAGUCUUGAGUUUUUAUAUUUUUAAAAAUAUUAACUUGAAAUGAAUUUGGCAGAAGUGAAUUUUUCAAUUUCUCUAUUUGACAACGUAAUAGGUUUUACCAACUCGUUGACUUUUAAAGAAUAAAGAUUGAAUUAUUAACAGCUUCGGCGUUUAUAACCAAAACUUAUUUAAAAGUUUGACCUCAAAUCAAGUAAGAUUACCCGCUGAACUUAA
RNAcentral lists this unclassified non-coding RNA (295 nucleotides) under uncultured fungus. Its description in RNAcentral is "partial contains 5.8S ribosomal RNA, internal transcribed spacer 2, and large subunit ribosomal RNA". The record is from RNAcentral. Lineage: Eukaryota; Fungi.